Molecule: ribosomal RNA, 612 nt
Filed under: Triticum aestivum (bread wheat)
Lineage: Eukaryota; Viridiplantae; Streptophyta; Magnoliopsida; Poales; Poaceae
Description: partial small subunit ribosomal RNA
Source: RNAcentral
AUGGCGGUCAAGGUCUAUGUCGUGUACUACUCCAUGUAUGGACAUGUCGCUAAACUAGCUGAUGAGAUAAAGAAAGGUGUGUCGUCAGUUGAAGGCGUCGAAGCUAAAAUAUGGCAGGUCCCUGAAACUCUCCCCGAGGAAGUACUUGGAAAGAUGGGUGCACCUCCCAAGCUUGAUGCCCCAAUCAUCACACCACAAGAACUUGCGGAGGCAGAUGGGAUCCUCUUUGGUUUUCCUACAAGGUUUGGUAUGAUGGCUGCACAAAUGAAGGCUUUCUUUGAUGCAACCGGUGGCCUGUGGAGGGAGCAGAGUCUUGCAGGCAAACCUGCAGGCAUCUUCUUCAGCACUGGUACUCAGGGUGGCGGGCAGGAGACUACAGCAUUGACAACGGUAACCCAGUUGACUCACCACGGCAUGGUGUUCGUUCCCGUCGGGUACACCUUCGGUGCCAAGCUGUUCGACAUGGACAAAGUUCAGGGUGGCAGCCCGUACGGCGCAGGCACAUUUGCCGCCGAUGGUUCGAGGUGGCCAUCUGAGAUGGAGCUGGAGCACGCCUUCCACCAGGGCCAGUACUUUGCGAGCAUCGCGAAGAAACUCAAGGGAUCUGCUUGA